UACGAAGGGGGCUAGCGUUGCUCGGAAUCACUGGGCGUAAAGGGUGCGUAGGCGGGUCUUUAAGUCGAGGGGUGAAAUCCUGGAGCUCAACUCCAGAACUGCCUUUGAUACUGAAGAUCUUGAGUUCGGGAGAGGUGAGUGGAACUGCGAGUGUAGAGGUGAAAUUCGUAGAUAUUCGCAAGAACACCAGUGGCGAAGGCGGCUCACUGGCCCGAUACUGACGCUGAGGCACGAAAGCGUGGGGAGCAAACAGGGA
This 256-nucleotide ribosomal RNA is filed under the name uncultured bacterium. RNAcentral's name for it is "partial 16S ribosomal RNA". It matches the Rfam family "Bacterial small subunit ribosomal RNA", at positions 524 to 778 of the family's 1533-position model. The record is from RNAcentral.